This 253-nucleotide ribosomal RNA is filed under the name uncultured bacterium. Its description in RNAcentral is "partial 16S ribosomal RNA". It matches the Rfam family "Bacterial small subunit ribosomal RNA", at positions 524 to 776 of the family's 1533-position model. The record is from RNAcentral.
GACAGAGGGUGCAAACGUUGUUCGGAAUUACUGGGCGUAAAGCGCGUGUAGGCGGCCCUGUAAGUCGGGUGUGAAAUCCCACGGCUCAACCGUGGAAGUGCAUUCGAAACUACAGGGCUAGAGUUCUGGAGAGGAAGGUGGAAUGCUUGGUGUAGAGGUGAAAUUCGUAGAUAUUCGGAAGAACACCAGUGGCGAAGGCGACUCACUGGACAUGUAUUGACGCUGAGGUGCGAAAGCGUGGGGAGCAAACAGG